Molecule: ribosomal RNA, 254 nt
Filed under: uncultured bacterium
Lineage: Bacteria
Description: partial 16S ribosomal RNA
Rfam family: Bacterial small subunit ribosomal RNA
Source: RNAcentral
GACAGAGGGUGCAAACGUUGUUCGGAUUUACUGGGCGUAAAGGGCGCGUAGGCGGUCAGCACAAGUCAGUUGUGAAAUCUCCGGGCUUAACUCGGAAAGGUCAACUGAUACUGUGCGACUAGAGUGCAGAAGGGGCAACUGGAAUUCUCGGUGUAGCGGUGAAAUGCGUAGAUAUCGAGAGGAACACCUGCGGCGAAGGCGGGUUGCUGGGCUGACACUGACGCUGAUGCGCGAAAGCAUGGGGAGCGAACAGG